AGACGCCCUGGCCCGGGCCGCCCACUCCCGGGGCCGCCCACUCCCCAGGGCUGUCCUAUUCCUCCGGCUGCCCUCGGGGCACCUGAUUGGCAAGGUCCAGCACCCCGCAGUGUGCGAUCCACGCCGCACACAUUCCUCUAGUGCGCGCGCGCAGCCAUUUGGUAGUCUGGUCACCAGCGCUGCCUAGAACGAGGGCGGAACCGGUCUCUGUCGGGAGGACCUGCUGCUGCUGCCCUCUUGGUGGGCCCGGUACAGACAGCCUUUGUUGAUGGGAGGAACUAUUAACCAGACACUGAGCAACAAUAAGACCAGUCUCGGAACCUGGAUCCUAAUCGCCUGAUGCUGUCAAGACCUGGGCUUGGCAGUUUGUAGCUCAGCAGCACAGAGAAUUGGCAAGAGUAUUGUGAAGCUUGGGGAUUGAGGUCGGCUGAGGCUACACAGCAAAACACUGCCAAAAACCAAGACCCGGGCUGAAGAGAUGGCCCUGUGCAUAAGAACACUCGCUGUGGACCUGAGCCCGAUUCCUAGCACCCACAUAGCUGCUCACAUCAUAGUAACUCCA
This is a long non-coding RNA of Arvicanthis niloticus (Nile rat), 562 nucleotides long. RefSeq lists it as uncharacterized. NCBI's taxonomy places the organism in Eukaryota, Metazoa, Chordata, Mammalia, Rodentia, Muridae. The record is from RefSeq and is a predicted model, not a curated record.